This 7342-nucleotide long non-coding RNA is filed under the name Daucus carota (carrot). RNAcentral describes it as "long non-coding RNA (DCAR_LNC007631)". Lineage: Eukaryota; Viridiplantae; Streptophyta; Magnoliopsida; Apiales; Apiaceae. The record is from RNAcentral.
UGAAGUGAUAAAUGAUUCGUAUGAUUGAUAUUGGAUAAGAAUAUAUGGAUUAUAGUUAUUGGAUUUUGUUGGUUGAUUAAUGAUUGAGAUAGGAUAAUAGGUGGAUAGUCUUAUACAUAGACGAGACGAUGUCGGAUUUUCGAUAAGGAUUUAUAUGAUAAUUGAUUGGUGAUAUGUUAUGUGGAAUAUGAUUGACUAUAUGUUAGAGUCAAAGCAUGCUUAUGUGUUACGUGGUAUCUGAUAAGUUUAAAGGGGUAUAUAAGUGGGUAUCGGUAUACGUGAUAUGUAUAUGCGAUAUAUUGUUUAGUGACUAUAGUAUUAUCUUAUUCUCGUAAAGGAUUUGGACGAGACGUGUACGCUCGAAGACGUCAGGAAGUCGAAAUGGUAUUGCAAAGCGAAUAAGGGAUGAAUCGAGUAAGCGAAGCGAAGAUGUACGGUAGAUAGAGUAUAGCCAGAGAUGGUCUAGAGACUAUGAGAUGCAUAGAUUGUGAAAGUGGAAAGAUGAGAUUGAGAUGUGAGACUGGAGUCAGAUUUAAGGCAAGUAUCCUAAACCUUUCUCUUGGAUAUAUUGCAAAUAUUCUGAUCCAUUCCUUUGGUAUAUGUUUCAAGUAUUCAUACCUUUCUUUUCAAUGUUCGAAAGUGCGAGUAUUCUGACCCAUUCUUUCUAAUCUUCAAGUUUCUAAAGAAUUUCCGUUUUACAAAUUAAUUCGAAGUUCAGAUUGUCAUUGAAGCAUGUGUUGCUCAGUGAUAGUUAGAGCUUUGAAUGAAUUGGGAUCUUCUUGAUUAUUCAACCCGCCAUUGUCAUGCUGGUUUAGCAGGCUAAAUUCAGUUGCUUAGCCGAUAAUGGAGGAUACUGAAUAGUUGAGGAUUUCCUGAACUGUGAUUUAUGAAAUGAUGGAUCAUGAUUUAUGAAUAGAUUAUUAUCAAAGUUUGAAUUGGAAUUAUUCUGUUGUUGAUGAUAUUUAUGAUGAUGUUCUGUUAAUUUACAUUGGCUUCUUGAAUUGAAUUAGAGAAUUGGAUUAUUGUUUUUAUAUAAACCUGUGGACCAGAUUCGUGGUCAUGUUAGGCCAAUGAGUGCCUUGGAUCCAGUGAUAGAGCAUGGCGGGGCCUGCUCGGGGUUAGUGCGGAACUGAUCAGCUGCCUAACCUUGGUUUUAAUUAAAAUGUGAUAGUCCAAUUCAAUAAUUCUUUGGAAAGAUUGAAUUUCUCAGUUUAAAUGCUGCAAGGUAUUGUAAAUCAUUCUAUACAAUACCAUGAACUCAUGAACUCAUGUUGAAUCCUUUUAUAUCUUGAACUCGUGAACUUCUAUUAUAUCAUUUCAGAACUAUCAUUGUUUAUUAUUACUUGCUGAGCAUUGUUGCUCACCCUUGCUAUUCCUUUCUAACCAUUUCAGAAAGGCUUAAAGAUGAGAUGAUUGAUUGAGAUUGUGAGUAAGGCUAAUGCUAGGCGAGGAGACAGAGUUGAGGAUCCAGUGGUCGAGGAGUGUUCAGGAAAGUUGAUGAGGUUGGUGCAAGCUGGAAUAGUUGACAGUGAUUCUUCUUAUCGAAGAUGAUCUGAUUUGGUAAGAGAUGUUGUGUAAUAAUAGUGGUAGAUUCUAAUUUCAAUACUGUAACCUGGAUGCGAUCCUGUUGCUUUUAGGGGGUUUAAAUGUUCUCUUUCGAAUCAUUUAUUAAAGUUUAAAUGUUCUCUUGAAAUUCUCCUAUUAUGGCUUUCAAGUUUGAAAUUCAGGUUUUGAAAUCAUUCGAUUUAUGUUCUCAUUCAAAUCUUUUAUUAAAUGUUUUCAGGUUUUAAAUUCUUUGAUUUCAUUAUAAAAAAAAAAAAAAAUUUAGGUUUUCGAAAGUGUUUUAAAAAGGUUUUUAUGUGGUGACGUCAGAAUCCAGGCCCCCGGAUUCCUGGACCGUCACAGUUGGUAUCAGAGCCACAGGUUAUAAGUAUUUGAAAUUAGAAUAUAGAUCAUAGUUAUAGGUUUUCUAGAGAAGAAUAUUGUGUGACCUCGUACAGAGGUAUUAUUAGACUAUUUAGAAAUAGUCUAGAGAUGUGAUAGAGGUAUAGAAUCUAGUUAGACGAUCAAGUUGAGUGUAUAAGGUUAGAGAGAUUUUGAUUCCUAAGUUAGACAUAUGAUUUCUAGUAUGUUGACUCAUUGAGAUGUUGAAUUGUGAGGAAGGUCAAGAUUAGACCUAGAUAGAAGAGUUUGAUAGUGAAUGAUUGAGUUAAGAAUGGUGAAGAUGCAGAGUUCAGAGUAUUCUGACUAUACUGCAUAGUUGAGAAUGGUCUAUGGUAUUGAUUUGAGAAUGAUAAAGAUGCAUGGUUCAUAGUAUGUUGACCAUGUCAGAUGUUUGGAAGAAGUAUAUUGUUUUUGUGAGAUAUUGAAGAAGGAGUGUAAGAUAUGAGUUAUGUUGGAUUAGAAGGGGGAUUUGUAGAUAGAGGUUGAUAGAUGAGAAGUGAAUGAUAAAAAGUAUGUGGAAUUGAGUGUAGUUAUUAGGGGAGAUGUCGGUGAGUAAUUUAGAACGUUAAUCCUCGACGACAACGCUUUAAGCUAAUCGGGACUUCAAACGACAUCAAGGUGGGCCCAUAACCCACAAGUUGAUGAUCCAGACAAUCGAAGAUACGCUACGUGUUGUGCUAUGGAAUUCAAAGGCAACUGGAUGAAACAUGAGAACGUGAACUAUUUGGGCCAGACUUAUUACGAACUAUAACGUCUACGAUGACAUCUUACGAGGCUAUUACGAGUCAACAUCGAUUGAUUAUCAAGAACGUUGAAAAGAAGACAUACGACGGACAAUGAUUUAUUGAAGCAGAGCGAAAAUCUGAGAAGACCUGGGCAAUACCUCUCUUCAACUAAAAGUUCUUUUGAUUCUUUUCUCAUUAGUGAGAUAUUAUCAUGAUAUCCUUUCGACCAAAGUUUCGAUAAAGGAGAUUUUCAAUUUCUCAAAUUCUAAGAUGAUAAUGAUAUUGAUUAUUGGUGUGAGUUAGUAUUGAAUCGGUGUAUGAUAAAGACGUGUUUAUGAAGAGACAGUGGAAUUCCUUGAUAUUAUUUGAUAUUCUUUGAUAUCCUUUGAUAUUCAUCCAUAUUCUUUGAUGUCCCUUAAUAUUCGUCGAUAUUCUUUGACACUCCUUGAUAUUCCUUGAUAUCUUUUUGAUAUUCCUUAAUAUAUUCCUCGAUAAUCCUUAACAUUCCUUGAUGCUCCUUGAGAUUUCUUGGAUUCUUUCCAUCUGAUUGGGAUGAACAACCCUAUGAAUAGGGGACACAAGGUAUACCUGUCUGUGUGAUAGGAGUUGGAUGGGACGCCAUCACUUGUGUGUGUUGUGAUUACAAGAAGGUUAACAACCUUUAGUAGUGUCUAAUAUGGACACGCAACAUUAAGUUCAUUUGAUCGUAUUGAUCUCCCAGUCACUCUUGUAUUCCAAUGUGACCUAUUUUGAAAAUAUCUUGUUCCUCCGAAAUUCCCAAAGAUUGAUUCUUGGGAAAUGAAGUUUGCAAUUGUGAAGGUGUUGAUUUUCCUAUUUCUUUAACUUUGAAGGUAUGCCAAAGUUGAUCAAAGGCGGAUGAGCAUGUGAUAUUAUGAAGCGUGUACCACGAUCUUAUAAAUGAUACGUUUUAGUUUCUUCGGAGGAUUCCGAGGACGGAAUCCUUAUAAGGGGGGUAGAAUGUAAUAUCCCAUAUUUUUAAAUUUAGAUUUGAUUGUUAUAAAUCUAUCUGUCUAAAUAUUAUUGUUGGCUUUAGUUGAAAAGUGAAUUGAUUAUGUGAAUAGUUUUAUAUGAUUAUACUUGUUUUGUGGAUUAAUAUGGAUUUUACAAAUAUUGCGUCCUCCUUCUUUCUCUGAUUCCGAGGACGGAAUCCCUAUAAGGAGGGUAGAUUGUAAUAACCCGGAUUUUAAAAAUAUCUUUAUUAAUAUUAUAAAUGAUUUUCUUAAAAAGUAAGGAAUAAGAUUUAAUAUUUUAUUCCAGUUUAAGGAGUUUUCAAGGUUUUAUAUUUAAACCCCGGGUUAUUGUGUUAUUGAUAAAUAAUUGUAUUUUCAAAAGUGAUUUUCAUAUAUUGUUUCGAAAAUUCUGUAUGAAUAUUAUGUGAAUAUAUGUGUGAUGUGAGUAAGUGGUAUUGGUGGAUUUGUUGGUUAAUUAAUUAUGGUUAAUUAUGAGUAUUAUAUGAUUAAUAUAUGAAUUUUUGUGAAUUUUAUAUUAUCUGGUUUAUUGCGUUAACUGCUCAUAUGUGUUCGUAUUUGAGAGAUUUCAAUUUCUAUAUGCUCAGGAGAAAAUAUAGUUUAUUUGGAUAUUUUCAUAUCGAUUUAUGGAAUGUUAGAUGAUUUUAUAAUCGAUUUACGGAUUUAAUUGCGUAUAUUUAUAUUUAUUUAUUAAUUAUUUGACUUCCGUAAAACCGUCCACUCGUAACGAGGUAGCAAAUUUUCUUCCCGGAAGUUUCAACAAAACUGACCUUUAGCCUAAUUUGAAUAUUCCGGACACUUUUCGUGUUUUGACUUUUUCGAUCCGGAGUACGGUUUUCCCCGGAGUCGGUCCGGCGGAGUUUUUCGGGUAUUUUAAUUGUUGAUAAUUAUCCAGUUUGUCUCGAUAAGCGUGAAACGAGAUAUUUUGAUUAUUAUAUUCAUCCUUAUCUUGUAAUAAUUGCAAUGGGACCCGCAGACCAAUAAUUGAGUUAAAAAGCCCCGUUUUGAUGAUUAUCUCGAAAACCAGUACCGAUUGGACCCCGCUUUAUUAAUAUAAAGCUAUUAAAUACGUAUUUUCAUGUCAUAAACGAUCCAAAGGGGUACCAAUUAUUUGUAAAUAUAAAUAGACCUUUCUAGAGCUUAUUUUCACCCGUAAAAUCAUUUCACCAGUUUCUCUGCACGAAUACCGAGAGAAACCGAGCGGUGUUCUUCGUGUUCUUCAUAAUCAAACGAAGAUUUGAAGGUGUUAUUGGAGUCAGAAUCAAGCGUGCGAAUAGUCAAAUCGAAGAUAUCGAAGAGUAGAACCCAAAUCAAUCAUCAAAAACAACAUGAGAUUCACAGGUAGGGAGUAAUUGAAGUUUUAAAAUUCGAAUUAUUAUGAUUUAAAUAGUGAAUUUUUGCAAACGUGUUUGUUUGAUUGUUUGGAUGAUUCCAUGUUGUAGAACGUGUUUUUCUCGUCGUUUUGGUAUAUUAUAUGUUGAAUUUUGAGUUCGGAAACAUAUAGAAAAGUCCGUUUGAUUAUGUGGUUGUGUUCUUGAGUGUUCUUGAACUUUCGCCGGAAAGUUAUGAUUUUUGGUCGGAAAAUCGUUCUGUAGAGUAUGAAUUGUUUCUAAAGUCAUGUAUAAGAUCCUGGUGAUGUGUAGAGUCGAUUUAUAGGUUUGAUUUCAGUGUGGGAUAAGGAUUUGGGGCUCGCCGGAUAGUGGUGGCGGCGGUUUUUGACGGAUUUUUCCGGCCAGUUGGCUGCGUUUUUGGUGAAAACAAGGUGCUACAAUGAUUCCUGGUAUAAUAUACUCGUGAUCUGGAGAGUUUUGAAUGUUUCUGGGCUUGGGAAAGGUGGUGCCGGCAUCGUUCCGGCGGAUCUGGGGCCGGCAGUGGCAAAUUGCCAUUUGACCCCCAGAGUUUGGAAGAUGAUGAAGAGGUGACACUGUAGUUUCUGUUUUGACGGUUCAGCCCCUGUAACUUUUGAAAGUUACACUUUAAACCCUGUCAGAAAACUUUCAAAACUAUACACUUUAAACCUUUUGAUUUUAAUUUUCAAAAAUUGUUUUAUUUAAUUAUUUUAAAUUCCAAAAAUAGUUUUUAAUUAUUUCUUUAUUCAAAAAUAAAUCUAAAUUAGUUUGUUAAUUAAUUUUAAUUAGUAAUUAAUUAUUUUAAUUAGUCAAUUAAUUUAAAUAUUAAUUGAUUAAUUAUUUUAAUUAAUUAUUAAUUGAUUUUAAUUGAUUAAUUAAUUGGAUUUAAUUAAUCCUUUUUGAUUUAAAAAUUCCGAAAAAUAGUUUCGAGCUUUAAAAUAUUUUUCCAAAUUAUUUUCAAGGCUCGAUAAUUGUUUAUGAAUGAUUUCAAGUCCAAUUUCAAGUAUUUGGGACUUGAUUAUUUAUCCGAAAAGUGAUUCUUUUAUCGAUUUUAAUUCCGAAAAAUGUUUAAAAAUUCCAGAAAAUUCCCGAAAAAUCAUUUUUAACCCAAGACUUGAUUUAAUAUCAAUUGGGAUGGGAAACCUUAUGUGUUGUGUGUUGUCUGCUAUUGGUUGGAUGUGUUAUGUGCCGAUAGGAGAGUGAGAAAACUGUUUUGAGCAUAACUUUUGAUCCGUAAGUCGGAAUCAAGUGAAACGAAAGAGAGACAGAAGCUUAUAACGUCUAUUUUAAUAUGAUGUGACUAUAUGGCUGAGUCUAUAAGGUGAAUAAUUGUUGAUAAGUAUGCAUAAUGUGAUAAUAUGUGAUCUAAGUGCUAUCAAGUGAUGAUUAUGUGAAGUACGUGUUAGUUUUGAUAUUGUGAAGUGAUAAAUGAUUCGUAUGAUUGAUAUUGGAUAAGAAUAUAUGGAUUAUAGUUAUUGGAUUUUGUUGGUUGAUUAAUGAUUGAGAUAGGAUAACAGGUGGAUAGUCUUAUACAUAGACGAGACGAUGUCGGAUUUUCGAUAAGGAUUUAUAUGAUAAUUGAUUGGUGAUAUGUUAUGUGGAAUAUGAUUGACUAUAUGUUAGAGUCAAAGCAUGCUUAUGUGUUACGUGGUAUCUGAUAAGUUUAAAGGGGUAUAUAAGUGGGUAUCGAUAUACGUGAUAUGUAUAUGCGAUAUAUUGUUUAGUGACUAUAGUAUUAUCUUAUUCUCGUAAAGGAUUUGGACGAGACGUGUACGCUCGAAGACGUCAGAAAGUCGGAAUGGUAUUGCAAAGCGAAUAAGGGAUGAAUCGAGUAAGCGAAGCGAUGUGGCGAAUAGAGUAUAGCUAGAGAUGGUCUAGAGAUUACGAGAUGCAUAGAUUGUGAAAGUUGAAAGAUGAGAAUGAGCUGUGAGACGGGAGUCAGAUUUAAGGCAAGUAUCCUACACCCUGCUUUUGGAUAUAUUGCAUAUUCUGAUCCAUUCUUUUCUAUAUGUGUUGCAAGUAUCCUAAACCUUUCUCUUGGAUAUAUUGCAAAUAUUCUGAUCCAUUCCUUUGGUAUAUGUUUCAAGUAUUCAUACCUUUCUUUUCAAUGUUCGAAAGUGCGAGUAUUCUGACCCAUUCUUUCUAAUCUUCAAGUUUCUAAAGAAUUUCCGUUUUACAAAUUAAUUCGAAGUUCAGAUUGUCAUUGAAGCAUGUGUUGCUCAGUGAUAGUUAGAGCUUUGAAUGAAUUGGGAUCUUCUUGAUUAUUCAACCCGCCAUUGUCAUGCUGGUUUAGCAGGCUAAAUUCAGUUGCUUAGCCGAUAAUGGAGGAUACUGA